RNAcentral lists this ribosomal RNA (404 nucleotides) under uncultured bacterium. RNAcentral's name for it is "bacterial SSU rRNA". It matches the Rfam family "Bacterial small subunit ribosomal RNA", at positions 11 to 429 of the family's 1533-position model. The record is from RNAcentral.
GUUUGAUCCUGGCUCAGAAUCAACGCUGGCGGCGUGCCUAACACAUGCAAGUCGAUCGAGAAAGUGGAGCAAUCCAUGAGUAAAGAGGCGCACGGGUGAGUAACACGUGACUAACCUACCCUCGAGUGGGGAAUAACCUGGGGAAACCCGGGCUAAUACCGCAUAAUACCUACGGGUCAAAGGAGCAAUUCGCUUGAGGAGGGGGUCGCGGCAGAUUAGUUAGUUGGCGGGGUAAUGGCCCACCAAGACGAUGAUCUGUAUCCGGCCUGAGAGGGCGCACGGACACACUGGAACUGAAACACGGUCCAGACUCCUACGGGAGGCAGCAGUGGGGAAUUUUGCGCAAUGGGGGAAACCCUGACGCAGCAACGCCGCGUGGAGGAUGAAGUCCCUUGGGACGUAAA